GACAAACGCUGGCGGCGUGCUUAACACAUGCAAGUCGAACGGAAAGGCCCUGCUUGCAGGGUACUCGAGUGGCGAACGGGUGAGUAACACGUGGGUGAUCUGCCCUUCACUUCGGGAUAAGCUGGGGAAACUGGUUCUAAUACCGGAUAGGUGCCAUCUUUAGUUUGGUGGUUGGAAAGUUUUUUCGGUGUAGGAUGAGCUCGCGGCCUAUCAGCUUGUUGGUGUGGUAAUGGCCUACCAAGGCGGCGACGGGUAGCCGGCCUGAGAGGGUGUACGGCCACAUUGGGACUGAGAUACGGCGCAGACUCCUACGGGAGGCAGCAAUGGGGAAGAUUGCACAAUGGGCGCAAGCCUGAGGCAGCGACGCCGCGUGGGGGAUGAAGGACUUCGGGUUGUAAACUCCUUUCGCUAGGGACGAAGCUUUUUUGUGACGGUACCUAGAUAAGAAGCACCGGCUAACUACGUG
Molecule: ribosomal RNA, 466 nt
Filed under: uncultured bacterium
Lineage: Bacteria
Description: partial 16S ribosomal RNA
Rfam family: Bacterial small subunit ribosomal RNA
Source: RNAcentral